GGACCAAGGAGUCUAGCAUGUGCGCGAGUCAUUGGGACUCUAACGAAACCUAAAGGCGUAAUGAAAGUAAAGGCCCGCCUAGCGCGGGCCGAGGGAGGAUGGGUGUCCCCGAGGGGACGCCUCGCACUCCCAGGGCGUCUCGUUCUCAUUGCGAGAAGAGGCGCACCAAGAGCGUACACGCUGGGACCCGAAAGAUGGUGAACUAUGCCUGGUCAGGACGAAGUCAGGGGAAACCCUGAUGGAGGUCCGUAGCGAUUCUGACGUGCAAAUCGAUCGUCGGAACUGGGUAUAGGGGCGAAAGACUAAUCGAACCAUCUAGUACUGGUUCCCUCCGAAGUUUCCCUCAGGAUAGCUGGCGCUCGCUUCUCGCGAGUCUCAUUCGGUAAAGCGAAUGAUUAGAGGCAUUGGGGUCGAAACGGCCUCAACCUAUUCUCAAACUUUAAAUGGGUGAGAUCUCCGGCUUGCUUGAACUGUGAAGCCGCGAGAUAUCGGAUCAGAGUGCCAAGUGGGCCACUUUUGGUAAGCAGAACUGGCGCUGUGGGAUGAACCAAACGCUGAGUUAAAGCGCCUAAAUCGACGCUUAUGGGAUACCAUGAAAGGCGUUGGUAACUUAAGACAGCAGGACGGUGGCCAUGGAAGUCGGA
RNAcentral lists this ribosomal RNA (644 nucleotides) under Glycyphana horsfieldi. RNAcentral's name for it is "LSU rRNA". It matches the Rfam family "Eukaryotic large subunit ribosomal RNA", at positions 663 to 1265 of the family's 3401-position model. The record is from RNAcentral. Lineage: Eukaryota; Metazoa; Arthropoda; Insecta; Coleoptera; Scarabaeidae.